AACGAACGCUGGCGGCAUGCCUAACACAUGCAAGUCGAACGAGACCUUCGGGUCUAGUGGCGCACGGGUGCGUAACGCGUGGGAAUCUGCCCUUCGGUUGGGAAUAACUGAGAGAAAUUUCAGCUAAUACCUUAUAAUGUCUUCGGACCAAAGAUUUAUCGCCGAGGGAUGAGCCCGCGUAGGAUUAGGUAGUUGGUGGGGUAAUAGCCUACCAAGCCGACGAUCCUUAGCUGGUCUGAGAGGAUGAUCAGCCACACUGGGACUGAGACACGGCCCAGACUCCUACGGGAAGCAGCAGUGGGGAAUAUUGGACAAUGGGCGAAAGCCUGAUCCAGCAAUGCCGCGUGAGUGAUGAAGGCCUUAGGGUUGUAAAGCUCUUUUACCCGGGAUGAUAAUGACAGUACCGGGAGAAUAAGCUCCGGCUAACUCCGUG
Molecule: ribosomal RNA, 433 nt
Filed under: uncultured bacterium
Lineage: Bacteria
Description: partial 16S ribosomal RNA
Rfam family: Bacterial small subunit ribosomal RNA
Source: RNAcentral